GGGGCUCAGUGGCAGAGCUCCUGCUUUGCAUGUGGAAGGUCUCAGGUUCAAUCCCUGGCAUCUCCA
Podarcis lilfordi (Lilford's wall lizard) is the source of this 66-nucleotide non-coding RNA. NCBI's taxonomy places the organism in Eukaryota, Metazoa, Chordata, Lepidosauria, Squamata, Lacertidae. The record is from the annotation of a GenBank genome assembly.